CUGCAUCUAUUUGACAGGACUGAAACAAUUACUGUUUGCUGCUAAGGUUUCCAAUAAAGAUGCAAGAAAAAAAUUCCCUGCAGUUCUGUUUGUCUGAUUGUGGCAGUCAAAAUCGAAUGGGGGAAUACAGGU
Small nucleolar RNA from Diceros bicornis minor, 132 nucleotides. RefSeq annotates it as small nucleolar RNA SNORA31. NCBI's taxonomy places the organism in Eukaryota, Metazoa, Chordata, Mammalia, Perissodactyla, Rhinocerotidae. The transcript has a single exon. The record is from RefSeq and is a predicted model, not a curated record.